This 253-nucleotide ribosomal RNA is filed under the name uncultured bacterium. Its description in RNAcentral is "partial 16S ribosomal RNA". It matches the Rfam family "Bacterial small subunit ribosomal RNA", at positions 524 to 776 of the family's 1533-position model. The record is from RNAcentral.
UACAGAGGGUGCAAGCGUUAAUCGGAAUUACUGGGCGUAAAGCGUGCGUAGACGGUUAUGUAAGUCAGGUGUGAAAGCCCCGGGCUCAACCUGGGAAUUGCAUUUGAGACUGCAUAGCUAGGGUGCGGAAGAGGGAAGCGGAAUUUCCGGUGUAGCGGUGAAAUGCGUAGAUAUCUGGAGGAACACCGGUGGCGAAGGCGGCAUCCUGGACCAACACUGACGCUGAGGAGCGAAAGCGUGGGGAGCGAACAGG